Eptesicus fuscus (big brown bat) is the source of this 79-nucleotide non-coding RNA. NCBI's taxonomy places the organism in Eukaryota, Metazoa, Chordata, Mammalia, Chiroptera, Vespertilionidae. The record is from RefSeq and is marked provisional.
GUCUGGGAGCGGCAGCCACUGGCCCAGUGUUUCCCCUUGCAGCAGCGAGGACAAAGACUUGGCUGCCGAACAGGGAGAC